AGUGAACGCUGGCGGUAGGCCUAACACAUGCAAGUCGAACGGCAGCACAGUAAGAGCUUGCUCUUACGGGUGGCGAGUGGCGGACGGGUGAGGAAUACAUCGGAAUCUACUUUUUCGUGGGGGAUAACGUAGGGAAACUUACGCUAAUACCGCUUACGACCUACGGGUGAAAGCAGGGGAUCUUCGGACCUUGCGCGAUUGAAUGAGCCGAUGUCGGAUUAGCUAGUUGGCGGGGUAAAGGCCCACCAAGGCGACGAUCCGUAGCUGGUGUGAGAGGAUGGUCGGCCACACUGGAACGGAAACACGGCCCAGACUACUACGGGAGGCAGGAGUGGGGAAUAUUGGACAGAGGGAGCAAGCCUGAUCCAGCCAUACCGCGUGGGUUAAGAGGGCCUUCGGGUUGUAAAUGCCUAUUGUUGGUAAAGAAAAGUAGCCGGUUAAUACCCCGCUGUUCUGACGGUACCCAAAGAAUAAGCACCGGCUAACUUCGUG
This 492-nucleotide ribosomal RNA is filed under the name uncultured bacterium. Its description in RNAcentral is "partial 16S ribosomal RNA". It matches the Rfam family "Bacterial small subunit ribosomal RNA", at positions 29 to 507 of the family's 1533-position model. The record is from RNAcentral.